AUAUAGCACAUUAGAAAUAUCUAUUUGUGCUGUCUGCGAUCACCCGGCGGCGUGCGCGUGAGCUCCCGGCCUGCGCGACAACAGACCCAGGAAGGACCCAAGGACCCCAGAGGGGGUUUUUUUCAGCUGCCUGCCUACCUGCCUGUCUGCGAUCACCCGGCGGCGUGCGCGUGAGCUCCCGGCCUGCGCGACAACAGACCCAGGAAGGAAGGUAGCCGCCCUUGAAACACCCACACGACCCCCCCCCCCCAGUUCUCAAAACUCCUGAUCGGGCC
This 275-nucleotide long non-coding RNA is filed under the name Fukomys damarensis (Damara mole-rat). Its description in RNAcentral is "lncRNA (ENSFDAG00000028842.1)". Lineage: Eukaryota; Metazoa; Chordata; Mammalia; Rodentia; Bathyergidae. The record is from RNAcentral.